AUUCCUACGGGAGGCAGCAGUAGGGAAUCUUCCGCAGUGGACGAAAGUCUGACGGAGCAACGCCGCGUGAGUGAAGAAGGUUUUCGAAUCGUAAAACCCUGUUGUUAAAGAAGAACAAGGAUGAGAGUAACUGCUCAUCCCCUGACGGUAUUUAACCAGAAAGCCACGGCUAACUACGUGCCAGCAGCCGCGGUAAUACGUAGGUGGCAAGCGUUGUCCGGAUUUAUUGGGCGUAAAGCGAGCGCAGGCGGUUCUUUAAGUCUGAUGUGAAAGCCCCCGGCUCAACCGGGGAGGGUCAUUGGAAACUGGAGAACUUGAGUGCAGAAGGGGAGAGUGGAAUUCCACGUGUAGCGGUGAAAUGCGUAAAUAUGUGGAGGAACACCAGUGGCGAAGGCGACUCUCUGGUCUGUAACUGACGCUGAGGCUCGAAAGCGUGGGAAGCAAACAGGAUUAGAUACCCUGGUAGUCCACGCCGUAAACGAUGAGUGCUAAGUGUUGGAGGGUUUCCGCCCUUCAGUGCUGCAGCUAACGCAUUAAGCACUCCGCCUGGGGAGUACGGCCGCAAGGCUGAAACUCAAAGGAAUUGACGGAAU
RNAcentral lists this ribosomal RNA (593 nucleotides) under uncultured bacterium. RNAcentral's name for it is "bacterial SSU rRNA". It matches the Rfam family "Bacterial small subunit ribosomal RNA", at positions 335 to 919 of the family's 1533-position model. The record is from RNAcentral.